GGAACUUCCUUCCUGCCCCCUCCGAGUUUUGCCUCUCUCACUGGCAGCAACCCAGCGCUUCCAUUGCUGACCUCUACCGACCUCUACCUGUGGUCCUUCCUCUACUGCAGCAGAGACACUGUUUUCUUCCUUUGUUCUUCCAACCCCAUGGCACAGAAACACUCUCCACUGCGGCCAAGGAUUGCAGGAGAGGUGGCAUCAGUGAUUCAAGACUUCUUUUCCUACCUCUUCAGUGUUUCUUUCAGUGAUCUGAAGUUAAAGCCAGGGGGAAUAUCACAGAAGUGAAGUGCAAUUCUCAUCAUGUCAUAUCAAGAGCACACACUAACAAACAACAUGACUUAUUGCUGAAUAUUGAACUUGAUCACCUGGCUGAGGUAGUGUUUGCCAGAUUUCUCUGUAAAGGUGAAUAAACUGACACUGGAACAUUCAGGAACUUCUUCAUGGUCAUGGUCACCCAGCUAGAGUGUGGAAGCCAGGCUGUCUGAUUCCAGGAUCUGUGUUCUUAAUCCUAUACAUAAGGAAGCCAUAAUGAGUCAACCACUAUUUUUAAGAUUCACAGAUGUUCGGGUCCAAUUCACCAGAAUGCCAAGUUAUACAGGGUUGUGGAAUCAAAAACUGCAAUUAGUAAUAAAAUGUGAUGCUAUCUAGAAUGUUUUUCAUACAUAUAUAUGCUUCUUGGGACUCUCCCUGCAGGUUAAGAGAAAUUGAGAAACGAUGGAGAAUUUAAGUGUUUUAGAUCCUACAUACAUUAGACUUAAAAAUAGUAACUAUGUACAUGAGUAUUUGUAAACUUAAGAAUGAACAUAACAUGAACCAUGUGGCACCUAUAAAAUGAAAAUAAAAUACCUACAAACCAAAUGAGAGCAAUAAAAGAAGCUUUAAGGACUUUCACUUCAGGGAGUCUGAAUUAGAUGCGCUUCUUCCCAUUCCUCCCUCUAAUUACAACAAGCUUGGACGUUACAUACAGAACAAACAGAAGGAGUCUCUGAAAGAUGAAGAGAAGGCAAGUAAGCUACAGACUUCACAAUGUAAGGAAUAAUAUGGUGGUGAGUUACAUUUGUGAUUUUUUUUUGUCUCAUAUCCCAUAAUAUCUCAUAUCUCAUAAUCAGUUAGAAAGCACAAUGGAAAAGUAUUCCACUGCCAAUGGUGUUAGAGAACUGCUCACAAAUUCAACAGAAAUGCACAGAUACCAAAGCAGAAAGGACAAUAAACAAGAGUCUUCAUGGUCAAAAGAUUAGAAGCUGCAGCUUUCAAUGGGAGGGACAGGUUCUGGACCACACUGCAGUGCUUUUCUGCUUUCUGUGCUUUCCCACUCUAGAGCUGAAGAAGGUAACGACCCCAAAAUGUCAAUAUACGUAGACCAAAAACCAGCCCCAAUAAAAGUCUGCUCUCUCUAGCCAAAGGACUACAGUAGGGCAGCCCAGCAAGACAGAAAACCUUCAGACAACCUACCCCAGCCAAACACUACCAAAAAAAGUAAAGUGAGCCAUCACCCAAUCCACAUCAGUAAAAACUAAGUGGAAAGUCCAGACUUUCACCUCAAGAGGUUGCGACAAGCUACUCCAAUACCCCUGCUGGGAUAGUGUCACAGAAGGCUAAAUAAGGAGCUGUAAUGUUGAUUCCCCUCCAGAAGUAAAGAGUCCGUACCUGCUAUUUUCAGAGAGACCACAUGGAAAGCCUAGAUUUCAACACCUACCCAGCAUUAAUGAGGUAUUCCUUCCCUUCUUUACUCUCUGGUGUCAAAGAAGCUCCAUGCAGAGUCAGAAUGUUUGGCAUUACUCCUCAGUAGGGAGGCCACCCCCACCACGGUGUUAGUGGAGACCAUGUGAGGACCAGGACUUGUACCCUGCCCAGAAGUAAUGAGUAGACCCCCCUCUACAGGAAGGCCAAAGGGCAACCUAAACUUCUACCUCUCUCUGGCAGUAAUAAAGUAGGGCCUCACUUUUCCCUGCUGAGCAAUGUCAAAAAAAAAAGCCAGCUGAAGUAAAAGCUUAUUUCUUUCUUUCUUUAUACAUAUUUUUGGAGACAGGGUCUUAUUCUGUCACCCACGCUGGAGUACAGUGGCCUCAUCAGGUCUCACUGCAGCCUCAACCUCCUGGGCUCAAGCAAUCCUCCCACCUCAGCCUCUUGAGUAGCUGAGACCACAGAUGUGCACCACCACACAUAGCUAACAUUAACAUUUUUUCUAGAGAUGGGGUCUUCCUGUGUUGCCCAGGCUGGUCUGGAACUCCUGGGCUCAAGUGAUCCUCCCACCUUGACCUCCUGGAGGGCUGGGAUUACAGGUAUGAGUCAUCACUCCAGGCUGAAGCUUUAUAUAAUAACCAGAGUCUCAUAUUACAAAAUGUCAAAGAUUCAGUCAAAAGUUACUUGAUAUCAAUGGACAAGAUCUCAAACUAAAUGAAAAAAAGACAAUUAAUAGAUGCUAACACUGAGAUAACAAAGUUGUUAGAAUCAUCUAACAAAGAUUUUAAAGCAGCUAUAAUAAAAGUGCUACUGCAAGUGAUUAUAAACAUGCUUGAGACAAAUGAAAAAGUGCUAUAAAGCUAAGAAAUAAAAUAUAUAAAUAAGAAUCAAAGAGAAAUUAUAGAACUAAAAGAUACCAUAACUGAAAUGCAAAGCUCCGUGGAUGGACUCAACAACAGAAUGGAAAAGACUGAGGAAAGAAGUAGUUUACAGGAAAUUAGAAUAGACUAGAAAAAAUGAACAAGACCCUGUGCUAAAGAGCAAAUAUUUAUGUCAUUGGAUUCCAGGAAAGAGAAAAGAAUGAAAAAGUACUUAAAUAAUGGCUUAAAAACUUCUCACAUUUUGCAAAGAUUUAAACCUACAAUUUGAGAAGCUGGGUAAACCUUAAACAGGAUAAAUCAAGGACACUCACACCAAGAAACAUAGUAAUUAAACUUCUGAUUAAGGAAGAAAAAGAAAAAUCUGGAAAGCAGCAAGAAAAAAAUGACACACUUUCUAUAUGGUAAAAGCAAUUUGAACAACAGAAGAUUUCUCAUCAGAAACUGUGGGGACCAUGAGGAAGUAACAGAUAUUUUUCAAGUGCUGAAAUAAAUCAACUGUCAAUACAAAAUGCUCUACUCAGUGAAAAUAUCUUUCAGGAAUAAAGGGGAAAUCAGGACACGCACAGACUUUUUUUAAAUUAAGAAUUUAUUGUCAGCUUAUCUCCCUAAAAGAAUGGCUAACAUUCUCCAAACACGAAGGAAAUUGAUAAGGAAUCUUGAAAUUUCAGUUAGAAACAAUGAAUAUGGCAAGCAAAAUGUAGGUCAGUACACUAAGUUUAAUUUCUCCUCUUGAAUUUUCUAAAUUAUGACUUAUGAUUGAAGCAAAAAUCAUAACAUUAUCUGAUGUAUAUGUAGAGGAAAGAUUUAAGACAGUGAUGUUAUAAAUGAGGGGAGUAAAGGAACAUGAGAUAACCACUAAUAUGACAUACCAAUAGACUAUGAUAAAUUAUGUGUCUAAUGUGAUUACUAGAAAAACCAGUUAAAAUAUAAAGAUUGACGGAGUGAAUUUAAAAACAUGACACACUAUAUGCUGUUUAUCAUAAACUCACUUUGAAGAUAAUGCCAUCGUCAGGUUGAAAUCAAAAGGAAUAAAAUAGUGUAUUAUGUAAACCAUCAAAAAGAGCAGGAAUGGCCAUAUUAAUAACAUUAAAGUCAGCUUCAGAACUAAGGAAAUUAUCAGAGAGGGACAUUAUAUAAUGAAAUAGUCGAUUUACCAAAAGAACAUAGCAAUCAUAAAUGUGCAUGAAGCAAACAACAAAGCUGGAAAAUAUAUGAAGUGAAACUGAUAGAUCUAAAAGGAGAAACAGAUAAAUCCAUUCAUUAUAGUUGGGGCCUUUAUCACCCCUCACUCAACAAUUGAUAGAACUGGACAGAAAACCAGUAAGAAUAUAAAAGAACUCAACAACAUGAGACAAUAGGAUCUAGUUGAUAUUUAUAGAACAUUCCAACAGCAGAAUACAUGUUCUUCAAGUGCUCACAGAACACACAUAUAAAGAUAGACCCUGAGCAUAAAACAAGCCUCAACAAAUUUAAAAGAACUGAAAUACUACAAGUACUUUCUCCAACCACAAAAGAACCAAACUAGAAAUAAAUAACAAUGAUAAUGGGAAAAUCACCAAACACUUGAAAACUGAACAACAAUAUUUUAUAACCCAUGGUCAUAGAGGAAAUCUCAAAAGAAAUUUUAAAAAUGCACUGAACUGAAUGAAAAUGAAAACAACAUAAAAUUUGUGAGACACAUAAAGCAGAACUGAUGGGAAAAUAUAUAGCACUAAAUGCAUGCUCUAGAAAAGAAAAGUCUUCAACCAGUAACCUAAGCUUCCACCUCAAAAACCUAAAAAAAGAAGGAAAAAUAGACCCAAUGCCAGCAGAAAGAUGCAAUAACAAAGAGUAGAACUCAAUGAAAUUGAAAACAGAUAAACACUUUAAAGAAUAAAACAAAGAGCUGGUUAUUAGAAAAGAUCAAUUAAUUGAUAAACCUCAAGCAAGACCGUCAAAAAAAAAAAAAAAA
Molecule: long non-coding RNA, 4515 nt
Filed under: Homo sapiens (human)
Lineage: Eukaryota; Metazoa; Chordata; Mammalia; Primates; Hominidae
Description: HSALNT0346078
Source: RNAcentral